AGUUGGUAGACUGAUUUCAG
Molecule: microRNA, 20 nt
Filed under: Ciona intestinalis (vase tunicate)
Lineage: Eukaryota; Metazoa; Chordata; Ascidiacea; Phlebobranchia; Cionidae
Description: cin-miR-4044-5p
Source: miRBase by way of RNAcentral